RNAcentral lists this ribosomal RNA (467 nucleotides) under uncultured organism. RNAcentral describes it as "partial 16S ribosomal RNA". It matches the Rfam family "Bacterial small subunit ribosomal RNA", at positions 334 to 797 of the family's 1533-position model. The record is from RNAcentral.
CACUCCUGCGGGAGGCAGCAGUGAGGAAUAUUGGACAAUGGGUGGAAGCCUGAUCCAGCCAUCCCGCGUGCAGGAAGACGGCCCUAUGGGUUGUAAACUGCUUUUAUCUGGGGAUAAACCUACUUACGUGUAAGUAGCUGAAGGUACCAGAAGAAUAAGCACCGGCUAACUCCGUGCCAGCAGCCGCGGUAAUACGGAGGGUGCAAGCGUUAUCCGGAUUUAUUGGGUUUAAAGGGUCCGUAGGCGGACUGAUAAGUCAGUGGUGAAAUCCGACAGCUUAACUGUCGAACUGCCAUUGAUACUGUUAGUCUUGAGUAAGGUUGAAGUGGCUGGAAUAAGUAGUGUAGCGGUGAAAUGCAUAGAUAUUACUUAGAACACCAAUUGCGAAGGCAGGUCACUAAGUCUUAACUGACGCUGAUGGACGAAAGCGUGGGGAGCGAACAGGAUUAGAAACCCCAGUAGUCCCA